Molecule: ribosomal RNA, 421 nt
Filed under: uncultured bacterium
Lineage: Bacteria
Description: partial 16S ribosomal RNA
Rfam family: Bacterial small subunit ribosomal RNA
Source: RNAcentral
AAUUUUUGACUAUGGGGGCAACGCUGAUCCAGCAAUCCCGCGUGUGCGAUGAUGGCCUUUGGGUUGUAAAGCACUUUUGGCAGGGAAGAAAAGGCUCUGGCUAAUACCUGGAGCUGCUGACGAUACCUGCAGAAUAAGCACCGGCUAACUACGUGCCAGAAGCCGCGGUAAUACGUAGGGUGCAAGCGUUAAUCGGAAUUCUUGGGCGUAAAGCGUGCGCAGGCGGUUCGGCAAGAAGGAUGUGAAAUCCCAAGGCUUAACCUUGGAACUGCAUUCUUAACUGCCGGGCUAGAGUAUGUCAGAGGGGGAUAGAAUUCCGCGUGUAGCAGUGAAAUGCGUAGAGAUGCGGAGGAAUACCGAUGGCGAAGGCAGCCCCCUGGGAUAAUACUGACGCUCAUGCACGAAAGCGUGGGGAGCAAAC